AAGAUAAUCCAACUACAAAGGAACCCUAGGGUUUUUAAGGAAGCACCAUCAUUCCAAUUGGAUCAUUAAGGGAAUUUGAGUUAACUAAAGGUUCUACAAUCAAUUGCCGGUAACUAAGACGAGGUGUCCUUGUAAACCUGU
Molecule: non-coding RNA, 141 nt
Organism: Theobroma cacao (cacao)
Lineage: Eukaryota; Viridiplantae; Streptophyta; Magnoliopsida; Malvales; Malvaceae
Source: RefSeq, a predicted model, not a curated record